Melanotaenia boesemani (Boeseman's rainbowfish) is the source of this 250-nucleotide long non-coding RNA. RefSeq lists it as uncharacterized. The record is from RefSeq and is a predicted model, not a curated record. The transcript has 3 exons. NCBI's taxonomy places the organism in Eukaryota, Metazoa, Chordata, Actinopteri, Atheriniformes, Melanotaeniidae.
GGGUAUGGCAGGCCUCUGUAGCCGCAGGCUCCUGCUGCUCUGGGCUGGAAUCGUUGCUUUGGCUACUUGCAAUCAAACAACUGCUGGACCAUCCCCACCAUCUCCACCGUGUUCUUACCAAGUCCAGCUCAUCCCAGGUGGUUUCCAGAUUAACAUGAUGAAUUCUCCCGCUGGAAACUACAAUAUUACCAUUACUGAAAACAACCAAGCAGUGAUACAAGAAAAUGUUUUUGUCUCCAAUGAAACCUCA